Molecule: non-coding RNA, 47 nt
Organism: Schistosoma mattheei
Lineage: Eukaryota; Metazoa; Platyhelminthes; Trematoda; Strigeidida; Schistosomatidae
Source: Rfam
ACAACGGCCCUUUUCAGGGCCAAUCACCAAUUGGUUUGCAACUUCCU